GGGGGUAUAGCUCAGUGGUAGAGCAUCUGAUCAGAUCGAGAGGCUCUCGCUCAACCCGGGUGCCCCCU
This is a non-coding RNA of Nephila pilipes (giant wood spider), 68 nucleotides long. The record is from the annotation of a GenBank genome assembly. NCBI's taxonomy places the organism in Eukaryota, Metazoa, Arthropoda, Arachnida, Araneae, Nephilidae.